GCCCAAAGUCGGUUUAGCUAACUUCGGAAGCGACUGCCUAAGGCAGGAUUGGUGACUGGGGUGAAGUCGUAACAAGGUAUCCCUACGAGAACGUGGGGAUGGAUCACCUCCUUUCUACGGAGUACAAUUACAAUUUCAUUUUUGGCCAAAAAUCUUAAUACCUGAUAUUUAAAACUAAAUUAUUUAAAUAUCUCACGAGGGUACUAAGUCAGUGUGUUGGUGUAGCCAAAAGCACUCUAAUAUUCAGUUUUGAGGGAUUUACCUCAAAAAAAAUAGAUCUUUGAAAACUGAAUAGCAUAUAAAUUAAUAUGAUAACGACAUCAAAAUAUAUUUUGUGAAAAUAAUUUUGAUCCGAGUUGUGUCUAUACAUGGGUAUAGACACUAUAAAUACCUUAAGAAUACAUCAAAACAAAAAAACAUUUUUUUUAAUAGGAAAAAAUAGUUACUUAUACUUUUAAAUAAGCAAGAGUUUGUAGUGG
RNAcentral lists this unclassified non-coding RNA (479 nucleotides) under uncultured Mycoplasma sp. Its description in RNAcentral is "partial contains 16S-23S ribosomal RNA intergenic spacer and 23S ribosomal RNA". The stretch from base 1 to 114 matches the Rfam family "Bacterial small subunit ribosomal RNA", at positions 1419 to 1533 of the family's 1533-position model. Lineage: Bacteria; Bacillati; Mycoplasmatota; Mollicutes; Mycoplasmatales; Mycoplasmataceae. The record is from RNAcentral.